UAGUUGUACGAGUUGAGACUCGUAGCAGAUAGCUCAGUAACACGUGGCCAAACUACCCUAUGGAUCCAGACAACCUCGGGAAACUGAGGCUAAUCUGGAAUAGGGCUCUCAUCCUGGAGUGGAGAGAGCCUGAAAUGCUCCGGCGCCAUAGGAUGUGGCUGCGGCCGAUUAGGUAGACGGUGGGGUAACGGCCCACCGUGCCAGUAAUCGGUACGGGUUGUGAGAGCAAGAGCCCGGAGACGGUAUCUGAGACAAGAUACCGGGCCCUACGGGGCGCAGCAGGCGCGAAACCUUUACACUGCACGCCAGUGCGAUAAGGGGACUCCAAGUGCGAGGGCAUAUAGUCCUCGCUUUUUGCGAC
This 361-nucleotide ribosomal RNA is filed under the name Natrialba hulunbeirensis. RNAcentral describes it as "bacterial SSU rRNA". It matches the Rfam family "Archaeal small subunit ribosomal RNA", at positions 55 to 417 of the family's 1478-position model. Lineage: Archaea; Methanobacteriati; Methanobacteriota; Halobacteria; Halobacteriales; Natrialbaceae. The record is from RNAcentral.